This 434-nucleotide ribosomal RNA is filed under the name uncultured Lachnospiraceae bacterium. Its description in RNAcentral is "partial 16S ribosomal RNA". It matches the Rfam family "Bacterial small subunit ribosomal RNA", at positions 341 to 792 of the family's 1533-position model. Lineage: Bacteria; Bacillati; Bacillota; Clostridia; Lachnospirales; Lachnospiraceae. The record is from RNAcentral.
ACGGGAGGCAGCAGUGGGGAAUAUUGCACAAUGGGGGAAACCCUGAUGCAGCGACGCCGCGUGAGUGAAGAAGUAUUUCGGUAUGUAAAGCUCUAUCAGCAGGGAAGAAAAUGACGGUACCUGACUAAGAAGCCCCGGCUAACUACGUGCCAGCAGCCGCGGUAAUACGUAGGGGGCAAGCGUUAUCCGGAUUUACUGGGUGUAAAGGGAGCGUAGACGGUGAAGCAAGUCAGAAGUGAAAGCUCGGGGCUCAACCCCGGAACUGCUUUUGAAACUGUUUUACUAGAGUGAAGGAGAGGUAAGCGGAAUUCCUAGUGUAGCGGUGAAAUGCGUAGAUAUUAGGAGGAACACCAGUGGCGAAGGCGGCUUACUGGACUGUAACUGACGUUGAGGCUCGAAAGCGUGGGGAGCAAACAGGAUUAGAUACCCUGGUA